RNAcentral lists this non-coding RNA (64 nucleotides) under unclassified sequences. Its description in RNAcentral is "potC RNA". It matches the Rfam family "potC RNA". The record is from RNAcentral.
AUGAUUGUGCUCAAAGUAAAUCAGGAUUCUUACCCUUUCCUAUAUUAGCUUUGAGCACUAAAAA